RNAcentral lists this transfer RNA (72 nucleotides) under Gemmata sp. SH-PL17. RNAcentral's name for it is "tRNA-Arg". It matches the Rfam family "tRNA". Rfam says of the family: Transfer RNA (tRNA) molecules are approximately 80 nucleotides in length. Their secondary structure includes four short double-helical elements and three loops (D, anti-codon, and T loops). The record is from RNAcentral. Lineage: Bacteria; Pseudomonadati; Planctomycetota; Planctomycetia; Gemmatales; Gemmataceae.
GUCCUCGGGGUGUGGUGGAUGCACGCGACUCUGCGAAGGUCGCAGACCAGGUUCGAUUCCUGGCGGGGACAC